CGCGGAGUAGAGCAGCUCGGUAGCUCGUCGGGCUCAUAACCCGGAGGUCGUAGGUUCAAAUCCUGCCUCCGCAACCA
Molecule: transfer RNA, 77 nt
Filed under: Clostridiales bacterium GWF2_36_10
Lineage: Bacteria; Bacillati; Bacillota; Clostridia; Eubacteriales
Also listed under: 1 other name
Description: tRNA-Met
Rfam family: tRNA
About the family: Transfer RNA (tRNA) molecules are approximately 80 nucleotides in length. Their secondary structure includes four short double-helical elements and three loops (D, anti-codon, and T loops). Further hydrogen bonds mediate the characteristic L-shaped molecular structure. tRNAs have two regions of fundamental functional importance: the anti-codon, which is responsible for specific mRNA codon recognition, and the 3' end, to which the tRNAs corresponding amino acid is attached (by aminoacyl-tRNA synthetases). tRNAs cope with the degeneracy of the genetic code in two manners: having more than one tRNA (with a specific anti-codon) for a particular amino acid; and 'wobble' base-pairing, i.e. permitting non-standard base-pairing at the 3rd anti-codon position.
Source: RNAcentral